UGGCUUUGUGGUUAAGAGCACUGGAUGCUCUUCCAGAGGACCUGGGUUCAAUUCCCAG
Molecule: transfer RNA, 58 nt
Filed under: Cricetulus griseus (Chinese hamster)
Lineage: Eukaryota; Metazoa; Chordata; Mammalia; Rodentia; Cricetidae
Rfam family: tRNA
About the family: Transfer RNA (tRNA) molecules are approximately 80 nucleotides in length.
Source: Rfam by way of RNAcentral